RNAcentral lists this ribosomal RNA (573 nucleotides) under Triticum aestivum (bread wheat). RNAcentral describes it as "partial small subunit ribosomal RNA". The record is from RNAcentral. Lineage: Eukaryota; Viridiplantae; Streptophyta; Magnoliopsida; Poales; Poaceae.
AUGCAGAGGCGGAGGCCGGGAUUCCACCAUGUGGAAGAGACAGAGAACAAUGUAGUGCGCAGCCUGUUCUGGACAGACUCCUUGUGUAAGAUGAAUUAUGAUCUAUAUGGAGAUUUCGUGUCUUUUGACACGACAUUCUCUACGAAUAUAUAUGGCUUGCCAUUUGCACCAAUUAUAGGUGUCGACAACCACGGGUCGACCGUCCUGUUUGGAGUAGGCCUUUUGAAGGAUGAGAAAAUAGGGUCAUUCAAGUGGCUCCUAAGCACGUUUGUCGAGGCAAUGGGAGGUAAAGACCCUAAAUACAUAAUAACAGACCAGGACCAGGAGAUGAAGACUGCAAUAAAGGAAGCUCUUCCGAGAACGAGGCAUAGGUUCUGCUGGUGGCAUAUUAAGAAGAACCUGAAGGAAAAUAACGCAGCAGUGUUUGCGCAGCACCCUGGGAUGUCUGAUGAUAUAUUUCGAAUCGUCAAAAACUCACUAGAUCAAGACGAGUUUGAGCGUGCCUGGAAUGCAGCAAUUUCUCUGCACAAGGCGGAAGGCAACAAACACCUGAACACGCUAUGGGAACUCUGA